Marasmius oreades (fairy-ring Marasmius) is the source of this 100-nucleotide non-coding RNA. The record is from the annotation of a RefSeq genome assembly. NCBI's taxonomy places the organism in Eukaryota, Fungi, Basidiomycota, Agaricomycetes, Agaricales, Marasmiaceae.
GGUUCGAUGGCGUAGUUGGUUAUCGCAUCUGUCUAACAUCGGUCGCCCCUUGUGAAUAAAUUUGCACAGAAGGUCCCCAGUUCGAGCCUGGGUCGAAUCA